This 332-nucleotide ribosomal RNA is filed under the name uncultured Pseudomonas sp. RNAcentral describes it as "bacterial SSU rRNA". It matches the Rfam family "Bacterial small subunit ribosomal RNA", at positions 61 to 395 of the family's 1533-position model. The record is from RNAcentral. Lineage: Bacteria; Pseudomonadati; Pseudomonadota; Gammaproteobacteria; Pseudomonadales; Pseudomonadaceae.
GUCGAGCGGAUGACGGGAGCUUGCUCCUUGAUUCAGCGGCGGACGGGUGAGUAAUGCCUAGGAAUCUGCCUGGUAGUGGGGGACAACGUUUCGAAAGGAACGCUAAUACCGCAUACGUCCUACGGGAGAAACCACGGGACCUUCGGGCCUUGCGCUAUCAGAUGAGCCUAGGUCGGAUUAGCUAGUUGGUGGGGUAAUGGCUCACCAAGGCGACGAUCCGUAACUGGUCUGAGAGGAUGAUCAGUCACACUGGAACUGAGACACGGUCCAGACUCCUACGGGAGGCAGCAGUGGGGAAUAUUGGACAAUGGGCGAAAGCCUGAUCCAGCCAU